UACGGAGGGUGCAAGCGUUAUCCGGAUUCACUGGGUUUAAAGGGUGCGUAGGUGGCUUUGUAAGUCAGUGGUGAAAGCCCGGAGCUCAACUCCGGAACUGCCAUUGAUACUGCUUAGCUUGAAUCACGUCGAGGUGGAUGGAAUAAUACAUGUAGCGGUGAAAUGCUUAGAUAUGUAUUAGAACACCGAUUGCGAAGGCAGUUCACUAGGCGUGUAUUGACACUGAGGCACGAAAAGCGUGGGGGAUCAAACAGG
Molecule: ribosomal RNA, 255 nt
Filed under: uncultured bacterium
Lineage: Bacteria
Description: partial 16S ribosomal RNA
Rfam family: Bacterial small subunit ribosomal RNA
Source: RNAcentral